RNAcentral lists this long non-coding RNA (709 nucleotides) under Marmota monax (woodchuck). The record is from RNAcentral. Lineage: Eukaryota; Metazoa; Chordata; Mammalia; Rodentia; Sciuridae.
ACUAAAUGCAUUUGAAUACGUAAUUUGCUAUUUUUAGGAGAAAGUAUGUACUGUAUGCCACGAGACCUGGGUUCUAGCCAGGUAUUUACCUUGCUUUUUUUUUUUUCUGUAAGGGAAGAUUUUUAAAGGCCCUUUAGAUGAAGAAUAAUAAAGUUAUAGAAAAUAAUAAUAAUAAUAAUAAAUCAGGAAAGCCUAAUUUGGUCUGAUACUAAUUUUUCUCCUUCUCUGUCUGCCUUUUUCCUGGUCUUUUGAGAUGGACAUCAUUAGGAAGCUCCUGGCUGGUAUGUGGCCCGCAGUGUGUAGCCGUGGGAGGUAGUAACUUGUAGCGUGGCCCAGGCAGGCCCAAGUACUCUAUUCCUUUACUGUUAAUGAUACCAUGAACCCCAAAGCCAUCAUCGUCAUUGACACCAUGAGACUUUUAUAUGUGAACAAUGAUUUUACAUCCAAGAAGUAAAACAAAACAAAACAACGUUAUUCUUGUUUGGCCUGAACACUGAGGGUAGACAGGGUAGAGGGCAAAUUAUUACUCUCAUUUUAUAGUUGAUUAAAUUGAUUAUAGGAUUUGUCCAAGGCCGAACAUCUGGUAAGGGAUGGAUUGGAACUAGAAUUCAGACUUUCUGACAUUAGUGCUAAUGUUAAAAAAAAAAAAAAUUCUUUGGUAGGGCGUCAAAUCCAGUUUCAAUCUACAUUAAAAACAUUGAGAAGAGGC